This 2116-nucleotide unclassified non-coding RNA is filed under the name Limulus polyphemus (Atlantic horseshoe crab). Its description in RNAcentral is "guanine nucleotide-binding protein subunit gamma-1- like, transcript variant X2". Lineage: Eukaryota; Metazoa; Arthropoda; Merostomata; Xiphosura; Limulidae. The record is from RNAcentral.
CGGUCGAGAUGAAUUGAGAAGUUCAUUUCCGCCGCGCCAUUUUGUUAAGUGUGGUAGUAAUAGUAGUUAUCAAGGCUUAGGCCUAAGUUUUAGAAAUUAGCCUUCUGUGUAACAUAGUGCUACACGUUUUAUUAAUUCCAGUCUAAUUUUGCACCAUCUUAUUUUUUCAUUAUAAGAUGUCCACACUACAACAGCAGAGGAAGGUUGUAGAACAGCUACGCCGAGAAGCUUCCAUUCGAAGAGUGAAUGUUUCUGUGGCCAUUGAAGAUUUGAAGAAAUACAUUCAAGAACAUGAAAAUGAUGACUAUCUGCUUGUGGGCUUCCACUCUCAAAAAGCCAACCCUUUCAGAGAAAAGAGUUCCUGUACAAUACUCUGAUAAGGAUUUAUAUUUUUUUGAUCUCCUGUUCUUCAGCAUAGCUAUAAUGAAAAAUAUAAUUAUGUCCAUAAAUGACAUAACUAAACAGAAUGUACAGUUUUUUUCUUAUUGGAACUUAAUCCUUAUUGGUUGGACCUUCACCUAUCAGUUUCCAAAUGUUUCAGUUCAAUAAAAAGAAAACUUUCCGUUAAAGAGCUUGGGUUGUAGAACAGGAGAUCGAUUUCAUAUGCUGUUAAGCAGCUACAUUUUUGCAGUAAUUUCUUAUUUUCUGUUUCAGUUUGAAAGCUCAAACUUACCUGGCACUUAAUGAAGGAAGUUGGUCUGUAAUAAUUAACAACAGAUAUUGUUAACAAAAGAUAUAAUGUUCUGUAUAAUAAUACAAAAAUAUCAUGUUUAUUUCAUUAAGUUAAAUGUUUUCACAAACCUUGCCUAACAGGCACUGCCAUGUGUAAGGUGUUUUCUUUGAGUAAUUGCAAACAACUAUUAAACUUUUGUUACUGUUGGAAACUUAUUGCUGUCCAAUAGCUACAAAAUGCCCCAAUAUAAUCACAUUUGAGAGUUUUCAUAAAUGUUUACCCUAUAAUGAUCUUCUUACAUGUGAUUCCAACUGUAGUUGUAGUCACUUCUUUUGUUGUUAUGAUUAGGUUGAUUGUAGUAACAUUAUAACCAGUUGCACACUUUACACAGAGACUAAUGGUGUGCAGAAGAUUGAAUCCAGUGGUAGUUUAACAUUCAGUUGAUCAAGUCUGCAGGAUUUCACUGGAAGUUUCUGAGCAAGUUUUAAGGAGAAAGUUAAGAAAGUGAUUAUUUCAGCAGCAUUUUAAUGUGUUGACUUGUGGUGGCCCAGGCUCUUAACUUACAUGAAAAAAAGGAAAAUUCAAAUAGCAGUACAUCAUACAUCAGGAAAAUUAAGAUGCAUUUAAAAUGAUGUUGUCAACAAAAGGUGAACUGUCAGGCUUCUUCAGUGUGUGUUAGUUGUUUAGAUUGCUAUUUUCAGAGAAAAUCUUAAGUUGUUAAAUAUACUUUCCUUAAUAUAUAAUUUUUUAGCAUUGCUAAUAGAUUCCCAUAAAGUAGUGCUGAUUCUUCAGACAACAGUAUCAGACUUUAUGAGGUUAUUAAUCUGACCUAUGUAAAUUCUAAAAACAAUGAUUUGUGAAUCUGUAAUUACCUUUUUGUCUGUAGAAGGAAAUAUUUUUAGAAAGGAAAGUGGUGCUUUGGAGAACGAGUGUGUUGACCAGCCUUAACAUUCUGUGUUGGCUUAUACAAGGUACAAAAUAACUAUCAGCUAGCAUGAACAGAAGUUGUCAUAUGAUGAGAAUCAAGUAUAUACUUGUUCUUAAAAUUUUUGUUUUUCAAUUUUUAACAGUGGCAGAUACAUCUCAUGUUUUUUACAAACUUCCAGUGACAAAGCCCAUUUGCUUAUCUUUUCUGCAGUGUUGCAACAAUCCAUUAGUGUCUUGUUAUCUUUAAAUAAGCUUGGAAGUUAGUUCUACCCAUUGUGAAUAAAAUUGUGUGGCCAAGCUGAAAUGUUGCCAAAUCUAUAUAUCUAAGUGUAAGUACUCAGCCUGUUUGACUACUGUGCUGUUACUAGAAUUGUAUGUAUUGAUGUGAAAAGCGCUUGUGUUGGACAGCCACGGAAGAGCCCCACCGUGACUGUCAUACCUUGUGCUUUAUAACUGUUACGUAUUUUCAUCUUUGUAUGGUCUAGUGUAAGGUAAUAAAUAGCUUGACAUCUAUUA